GGACAUAUAAACCGUUAAGGAGACGGGGCAAACUGUAAAUUAGUUGUAGUAUUCGAGUGGGUUCGAUUCCCUCUAUGUCCA
This 81-nucleotide transfer RNA is filed under the name Lachnospiraceae bacterium KHCPX20. It matches the Rfam family "tRNA". Rfam says of the family: Transfer RNA (tRNA) molecules are approximately 80 nucleotides in length. Their secondary structure includes four short double-helical elements and three loops (D, anti-codon, and T loops). Further hydrogen bonds mediate the characteristic L-shaped molecular structure. tRNAs have two regions of fundamental functional importance: the anti-codon, which is responsible for specific mRNA codon recognition, and the 3' end, to which the tRNAs corresponding amino acid is attached (by aminoacyl-tRNA synthetases). tRNAs cope with the degeneracy of the genetic code in two manners: having more than one tRNA (with a specific anti-codon) for a particular amino acid; and 'wobble' base-pairing, i.e. permitting non-standard base-pairing at the 3rd anti-codon position. The record is from Rfam by way of RNAcentral. Lineage: Bacteria; Bacillati; Bacillota; Clostridia; Lachnospirales; Lachnospiraceae.